UAAAAGGUAAAAAAAUGUAUUUUGCCAUAUUGGAAUGUCUCACAAAAGCCAAAAGGAUCACUAGGUGAUAGUUUCACAUUGCAACUUUUCCAGAUCGUGUUUGGUACUUCAUUGCUUAUGUGACCAAGUUUCAUAUGCUAGAUAUCCAUAAUAGACACAUAAGAAAUUGAGUCCUUUCCAAUCCCUGAGAGCUGGUACAUGCCAUAUUUAAGUGUACUUAUUAGUAUUG
RNAcentral lists this long non-coding RNA (229 nucleotides) under Lathyrus oleraceus (garden pea). RNAcentral describes it as "Pisum sativum (pea) long non-coding RNA (PSAT_LNC014850)". The record is from RNAcentral. Lineage: Eukaryota; Viridiplantae; Streptophyta; Magnoliopsida; Fabales; Fabaceae.